Molecule: non-coding RNA, 24 nt
Filed under: Drosophila melanogaster (fruit fly)
Lineage: Eukaryota; Metazoa; Arthropoda; Insecta; Diptera; Drosophilidae
Source: RNAcentral
GUGGCGGCUUCAUGCAAGAGUUUU